GACGAACGCUGGCGGCGUGCUUAACACAUGCAAGUCGAACGGAAAGGCCCUGCUUUUGUGGGGUGCUCGAGUGGCGAACGGGUGAGUAACACGUGAGUAACCUGCCCUUGACUUUGGGAUAACUUCAGGAAACUGGGGCUAAUACCGGAUAGGAGCUCCUGCUGCAUAGUGGGGGUUGGAAAGUUUCGGCGGUUGGGGAUGGACUCGCGGCUUAUCAGCUUGUUGGUGGGGUAGUGGCUUACCAAGGCUUUGACGGGUAGCCGGCCUGAGAGGGUGACCGGCCACAUUCGGACUGAGAUACGGCCCAGACUCCUACGGGAGGCAGCAGUGGGGAAUAUUGCACAAUGGGCGGAAGCCUGAUGCAGCAACGCCGCGUGCGGGAUGACGGCCUUCGGGUUGUAAACCGCUUUCGCCUGUGACGAAGCGUGAGUGACGGUAAUGGGUAAAGAAGCACCGGCUAACUACGUG
Molecule: ribosomal RNA, 468 nt
Filed under: uncultured bacterium
Lineage: Bacteria
Description: partial 16S ribosomal RNA
Rfam family: Bacterial small subunit ribosomal RNA
Source: RNAcentral